AAAAAGGAAAGGGAAUCGGUGGCUUCCACGAGCAAAACGCGAGCCUCCCAUGGCGGCAGUGCUUCUCUCGUAACAGCAGCAACAACAGUACUACAGUCUGAUUCAAGCGUGAUCGGAGCCUGAUGAAGCCCUUGGUUCAGCAGAUGGCGGAGCGCGAACGUGAGGGCCUGAAAUUCCGCGAUCAAGGUUGAUGCUGCUGGAAAUCGUGCUGUAUAAACAUCAGUAAGGCGACCAUACUGAUCUCUGCAGAUCGAAGCCAUCGAUCCAUGUGUGCUCCCUGGCUGAAAAGAAGCGUCGACAUUACAUUUCAAGGUGCCUGGUGCCGGUGGAUGCUAGAUCUAACUUUGUUUCUUCUUUCCUGUAGAUCGUGAUGAAGAGGAUGAGAGGGAAACCUCGUAAAGUCGCGUCUAUGAGAGUGCAUUCUCUGUUGCUAAAGAAGGAUCCGGCCGAUCGCCCCUGAAGAUAAAACUGUUCCUCAUUCGCCAUAUUUGCCAAAGGACAUUGGCGAUGAGCUCCAGAGCAAGUGAGUUAUUAGGCGAUUCAGCUUUUUCUGUCAACCAAACUUCUAUACGAGUGACCGAACUAAGCUGGAU
Molecule: long non-coding RNA, 593 nt
Filed under: Eucalyptus grandis
Lineage: Eukaryota; Viridiplantae; Streptophyta; Magnoliopsida; Myrtales; Myrtaceae
Description: long non-coding RNA (EGRA_LNC001381)
Source: RNAcentral